This 163-nucleotide small nuclear RNA is filed under the name Corchorus capsularis. Its description in RNAcentral is "snRNA U1". It matches the Rfam family "U1 spliceosomal RNA". Rfam says of the family: U1 is a small nuclear RNA (snRNA) component of the spliceosome (involved in pre-mRNA splicing). Its 5' end forms complementary base pairs with the 5' splice junction, thus defining the 5' donor site of an intron. There are significant differences in sequence and secondary structure between metazoan and yeast U1 snRNAs, the latter being much longer (568 nucleotides as compared to 164 nucleotides in human). Lineage: Eukaryota; Viridiplantae; Streptophyta; Magnoliopsida; Malvales; Malvaceae. The record is from Rfam by way of RNAcentral.
AUACUUACCAGGACGGGGUCAAUGGGCGAUCAAGAAGAUUCUCAUGGCCUACGGUAGUGACCUUCAUUGCACUUGGGAGGGGUACUACUCUAAGGUCUCCACAAGUGGGAGAGCCUACGUCAUAAUUUGUGGCAGCAGGGGCAUGCGUCCGCGCGGCCCCUAC